This 328-nucleotide ribosomal RNA is filed under the name uncultured eukaryote. Its description in RNAcentral is "partial 18S ribosomal RNA". It matches the Rfam family "Eukaryotic small subunit ribosomal RNA", at positions 1470 to 1796 of the family's 1831-position model. The record is from RNAcentral.
CCCUUAGAUGUCCUGGGCCGCACGCGCGUUACACUGAUGCAUUCAACGAGCUUAUAACCUUGGCCGAGAGGCCUGGGCAAUCUUGUUAACGUGCAUCGUGAUAGGGAUAGAUUAUUGAAAUUAUUAAUCUUGAACGAGGAAUUCCUAGUAAACGCAGAUCAUCAAUCUGCAUUGAUUACGUCCCCGCCCUUUGUACACACCGCCCGUCGCACCUACCGAUUGGAUGGUCCGGUGAAGCCUCGGGAUUGUGGUUCUUGCCGCUUUAUUGUGGCGUGACCGCGAGAACUUGUCUAAACCUUAUCAUCUAGAGGAAGGUGAANUCGUANCA